ACUGAAAGUGCUUGCGCCAGCGGAAGCGGAAGUGAUCCUUCAGUGCCACACUUGUCCUCUUCCUGCAAGCCACUUCCAGCGUCCAUGCUGAUGAGGUCGUCGGAGAACGCCUACCGGCGUUCUGAGUGGCGACCCAAGCCCCUGGAGUUGGAGUUGCGCGACAUCGCCUCGCGUCGCCGUAGAGUUGAAUUAGAUGAGCAUGCCCUAAGGCACAAAUUUAAGGAAGAGGGGUGUGGAAGACACAGAGGAAUGGCUAUGUAAGGACACAGCCAGAAGGCAGUCAUCCAUAAGCCAAUUACAGAGGCAUCACCAGAAACGAACUUUGCUGACACCUUGACCUUGGAUGUCCAGUCUCAAAAAAUGUGAGAAAAUAAAUUUCUAUUGUUCAAACCA
This is a long non-coding RNA of Artibeus jamaicensis (Jamaican fruit-eating bat), 393 nucleotides long. RefSeq lists it as uncharacterized. NCBI's taxonomy places the organism in Eukaryota, Metazoa, Chordata, Mammalia, Chiroptera, Phyllostomidae. The record is from RefSeq and is a predicted model, not a curated record. The transcript has 2 exons.